AAGCUAGGCUGCGGCGCUGGGAGCGGCGGAUCCCUCCGCCUGCCGGGAGGGAGGGAGGAAGGGACGAAGCGAGGCAAAGUAGGGAGGCGAGACCCAGAGGCCUUUAAAGGGAUCGGUCCGCUCCCACGGUGCCCCUCGGAGCACGCCGGCCGCCCGCCCGCCCGCCUGGCGCUGCUGCCACCGCGUGCUCCAGGAGGUCCUUUCCGGGGAGGCCGUGCGAGCUGCACGCACACUCUCAACACGCGCCACCUCGGCACCUCCUCGCGGCCCCGGGCCCCAGGAGAGUUGGGAGGUGGGAGUCUAAGUAGAUAAAUUAAGGGGAGACUGGAAGUGGUGAAAAGCUCCCAUCUCCCCCACUUGGUGUGUGACAAAGCCCCACUCACGGGCGACAUUCUUGGGGUUGGGGGGUGUUACCUAGGGAGCUCAGUUGCUCCCUCUACCUGUGACAGGCCCCCUCCGGUCCCAGGGCCCGGCUCGGCAGACGCCCAGCAAUUUAAAGCGACAGCUCAUAGUUCUUGGGUGACCUAAUCUCCAGUGCUUGCGGGGCCCCACAGCACUUACUGCCGAGGGGGCAAUUUAAAGGGGCGGGACCCUAAUUCCUCCCCACCUCCCGCCGCACAGUAAACACCCAGAAAUGUCUUAUUAAAGAAGCAGUAGUAGCUCUUUAAAAUUUUUUAUUUUUAUAUUCCUGGUUGCUCCAGGGUGUGGUGAAUAUUUACGUGCCCUACAACAGGAGUGUGGGUGCCAUGCCUACUGGACAACUGACCCGUCAGGCUUCAGCAUCCCUGUUACUUCCAAGUCCUGCUGCUUUCUCCCAAGAGCGUAAGGAAAUGAUGGCAUCUGGCUUAGAUCUCAAAGAACCUUGCAGAACAGAAGGGCACUCACUCAGUUCUUCACACACCCCGAAUUUUUUUUUUUUUUUUUUUGAGACGGAGUCUUUCUUCGUCGCCCAGGCUGGAGUGCAGUGGCGCGAUCUUGGCUCACUGCAACUUCCGCCUCCCAGGUUCAAGCGAUUCUCCUGCCUCGCCUCCCCUCCCGCCUCCCGAAUAGCUGGGACGACAGGCGCACGCCCCCACGCCCGGCUAAUUUUUUGUGUUUUAGUGGAGAUGGGAUUUCACC
This 1119-nucleotide long non-coding RNA is filed under the name Homo sapiens (human). RNAcentral describes it as "non-protein coding lnc-TTC24-5:1". The record is from RNAcentral. Lineage: Eukaryota; Metazoa; Chordata; Mammalia; Primates; Hominidae.